GACGCGGUGGCUCAGUUGGGCAGAGGUUUGGUGGAGGCUCACAGGACCUGGGUUCGACUCCCAGUAGUGACG
Caenorhabditis elegans is the source of this 72-nucleotide non-coding RNA. The record is from the annotation of a RefSeq genome assembly. NCBI's taxonomy places the organism in Eukaryota, Metazoa, Nematoda, Chromadorea, Rhabditida, Rhabditidae.